This is a long non-coding RNA of Fukomys damarensis (Damara mole-rat), 1660 nucleotides long. Lineage: Eukaryota; Metazoa; Chordata; Mammalia; Rodentia; Bathyergidae. The record is from Ensembl.
GGAGCUCUGGCUACAGAGUGGGGAUGGCACGGAGUCCUAUUAGAAUCCUCUGUGGGGUGAGAGCUGUGGGCUCACAAGGAGAGGAGGAGACAGAGUUGGGGAAUACCAUGCUGGUGAUAAGCAUUUCCCUGUCUGCCUUGUACCACCUACUUGACGAUAUCUUGGCUCCUGCAGCUCCCUCCGUCCUGCGCCCUUUCUCUCCUGCAUUCCUGCCCAUGGAACAUCCUCCCUCCUUCCCCUCCUCCUCCUCCUGCUCCCCUUCCUCCUUCUCUUCUCUCUCCUCCCAGGAGAAGAAGCACAGAGCUACAGGCCAGAAUCUGUAUGCAGAUGCCCGUUGUAUAGGCUCGUGCCCUCUCCACAGCAGCCCUGUGAGGCACUUGGGGUCCCAGGGAGGUGGACAGUGCUACCUCGCCCCAGCACACACUGGCUUCAUGUCCCCUGUUUCCCACAGAACGAGCAACCCAGAGGCUGGAGAGGGGCGCACAGCGCCCUCCGGUAGCAGCUUCUGGCCAGCCUGUCCUUGUGUCCUGCUGUGUUUUAUCCCUGUGAUUCUGUAAGCAGUUAUUGAGCAGCCUUUGUGCGCAGUGAGGGUAAAGAAGGACGGCAGAGUGCAGGGAGCAUGGCUGACCUCGCGUCAGCCCAGGAAACGCGGGCUCCCUGCAAACCCAUGUGGUGUGCUGAGCGUCUUCAAAGGGCCAGCAGCUGGGGGGCGCGCUGCCGUGUGCGUGGGUGUGCCAAACCACGGGCUUCCUCCUGGGGGCAGAGGGCUCUCUGGUACUGCCCAGCAGUGUGGCGAGGGCCCCUGCAGCAAGGGCAUUGCAAGGAGCUAAGACGUCGAAGGCCCAAGGACGUGGGGGUGCCUCUGCCGUCCAGUGUAGCUGUCCUCUGCUCAGCAGGACCCACAUGGCCAGGCAUGUGGCGAAGAGCACACUGCCUCACACACACCGGUGGGCACACCGGAGAAUAGUGGGCUUGCUCCUGUGGGAGUGGUGAUUUCCCCAUCCUGGGGAAUUCAAGGAAAUCUGCUCACUCCGGGUAAAGUGGAGUUGGGCAUCGGGGGAGUGCUGGACUUGGGGACGUACAAAGCUCUAGGUACUGGCUUCAGUCACACUUGACCUGGGUCCUUUCGCUCUGUCCCUGUCCUCCUGGAAGCCCACCUGAACCAGGUACCUGCCCAUGGAGUAUCUGAAUGCCCCCCAAAGAUGCCAGGUACAGCUAGGCUGCAUCCAUUCACUUGUCCAUUUCCUGUCCCCACAAGUGAGCCCUAGGCUUUGUCAGGGCUGGGUGGAUCUUAGGUAUCUUCUGUAGCCGCCAUCACUCCCGGCCCAGGUGCUGUGCGUGCUCCAUGCUGCCUGAGGUGUUUUACCUUCUGUGGCCAGGAGAAGCAUGAUUUAGAUGCUUGGUGGCUGGGUGGGGUCAGAGACACAGCCAGUGGCCCCUCGAAUACCCUUGGGCUCUCCUUCCAAAAGCGGUAGCAGCCCAGCAGACAGAGGUAUGUGCUGCUGAGCCAGGUGGCCUGGAUUCAAAUCCCAACCCUGACACUUCCCACCUGGGUGGCCUUGGGUGAGUGAUUUAAUGUCCCCGUGCCUCAGUUUCCUCAACUGUAAAACAGCACAAGAAUCCCUGUCUGAAAGGACUGAGGCCAGGAUUCAGCGGGUAA